Molecule: long non-coding RNA, 1755 nt
Organism: Armigeres subalbatus
Lineage: Eukaryota; Metazoa; Arthropoda; Insecta; Diptera; Culicidae
Exons: 4
Source: RefSeq, a predicted model, not a curated record
GUUCGAACGGUCGUUCACCCCGGGUCCAUAUUAUAUCGUACAGUCAUUUCUCUCAUCAUAGUUGAUCAAACGGUCGCAACUUUUUCAUAGUCUCUAAUGUUUAUCGCCUGAUGGUUUUCGCCGGAAAAGUCGGUUCCCGCAAGUUCUCUCCUGGCCGUCGGACAGGGUCUGCUCCUGGUUGGGAUAGUUUUUAAUACGUUCUCGGGUCUACUACUUUACUUUUAGUGGUGCUACCGUAGUGCUCUCUCUUAUCGUCCUCCUGCGGUUAGUUGGUGGAGUGGAGUGUCGCUGGCUGGCAAGAUUCGAAGCAGCAGUGCGGUGACCCCUUCGGAAGGCAGAAUAAUUCCACCCGAUUUCGUGAACAGUGCAACUGAUUGCUUUGGAAGAAAGGAAGAUUUUCUACGCAAGCUGAUAAGCCCCAGUGGCAUAGUUUGUCCCUUUAUACAAUCGAAAUUUUAAAUUGUGCAACUCUGUGUUUUGUGUGCUACAGUCUCUAGUGUCAGCCCGAAGCAAUGUAGUCGUCCGUAGUUUUUAAUUCGAGAAGAAUCGAAAGGGGCCAAUAUUAAUUGAAAGUGAAAAAAAAAUUAAGCUCAGAGACAACGCACUGCUGCUGUAACCAUGAUAAGAAUUUGGAGUGAAGGAACCCCUCCUUGGGGUGUCAACGGAGAGGUGUCCAUGAAAGAAUCGAGCAUGUGAGAAAAGUGAAGAAGACUGGCGACUCGGUGCUUCCUAGAUGAAGAUUUGUGUUUUCGGUGACGUUCUGAACGAUGUGUAGAAAAAGGGAAAAUGCAGUGAAAUCUAAACGCAGUGCGUGAGAAUUUGAAAGCAAUACUGCUUCUGUAGUGGAGUACUUCUAGUUGGAAGGUAAUUUGAAGAAGAAUUGAAUAAAAACGUCAAACUAAUUGACACUUCCAACAACUGUGGAAAGCGUGAAGAGGAAAAGGUGAUUGAAUUCCGGAAAGGACUGUGCAUUGUGCUUCAGUGUGGAGAAUAAGCGAAUUGCGGUGGGCCAUUUUUGUGUUUUCAGCAGAAGAACCUCCUCGUCGGUUGCAAGUGAAUGAAGAGACUUUGUGCGGCCGGAAUAGCCAAACACUUUUGGACAUAAAAUCGGAUUAUUGCAAGCGCUGCUUUGGUGGUCAAGGAAACGAAAACUAUCUUGUGACAGGUGUUUGAUGUUCUAUGUGUCAAGGAAAAGAGAGUAAGAAAUUAGUGAACGCAGGAUAGUGUGGUAAAAUAUCUUAGAGAGAAAACCAGAUGUUGUGAAUUAACCGAAACGGGAAUAGAAAACUCAUGUUUUGAGAAGUCUAUGAAAUCUGAGUGAAAAAAGUUACUUAAAAAGUGAAGUGAAGCGGAAAACUUCUAUUCUAUGUGUACACCGUAGCAUGGCAGAUGAUAAUGGCCGACUUUAUUGAUUUAAGGUACUCCACCAGUGGAGGUUUAAGGAGACGGCCAGACAAAAUGCUGCCGAAUUUCUUGAUAAGGCCCUCAAGAAGUGGGAAGCAACGUUCCGAACACGGUGUAUUCGAAUCGCGCCAUAUGGGUCGUAGACAUCCGUCCGGGCGGGCGCAAACACCACGCGACAAUCUAAAAAAAGACGCAAAAAUCUUUGCAAAUGCAAUCGUUCGUUCCGGUCCGACCCCCUGCUCGCUGCCUGGAGCAUUCACCGAGCGCGUGAAGAUGUCCCUGAAAAUUCUAACUUAAUGUGACAAAAGCAGUGCGAACCGCGCAAAAACUAAACGCGGAGAUCGACGGAUU